Non-coding RNA from Pelodiscus sinensis (Chinese soft-shelled turtle), 3235 nucleotides. The record is from RefSeq and is a predicted model, not a curated record. Lineage: Eukaryota; Metazoa; Chordata; Testudines; Trionychidae.
UGCUGAGCCUCGGGGGUCAGAUCCCCGGGCCUGAGGUGCCCCACCCCUGCUCUAGUGCUUAAGCAAACAAAAACUUUAAAAAUGCUGUUCAAGACUUAAUACAGAAUUUACUUCUUUUUGCAGGAGCACUUUUUACACCAUUUUAAAGAAAGGCAACAUAGCAAUGCAUUUUUAGUAAAGUUCUAACCAAUAAAGAGUAAAUGGCAAUGGUCAAUAGCUGAAAGUUGGAGGAAAGAUUAAAACUCACUAAGUGCUUUGCAGCAAAUGACAAAUGUUAAAGCUAGUAUUAUUGCAUAUGACUAAAAACUUGUUAAGAUGAUAUGGGUAUUUUGGGGGAAGAGCAUGUUCAUAUGGAUUCUGGAAAUGAUGUGUGCGUAAGUGCACCUGUGUAUUUACACAGUGUCUCUAAGGUCUUUCAAAAAUGCCUGCUCCAGUCUCAUUAUCCUUGUGGCCAGAAAGGACUAAACAGAAUGGCAGGGAAUGCCUGAGGAGUGGAAUUGCUGCUGUAAUGCCGAUGCACAUGCAGAAGGUCAGGAGAUCAAGGGGCAAUUUGCCACGAAUUUGCCACGGUGUUGCCAUAUUCUGAAUUGUACAUAACAUACAAAACUCAAGUCUCUUUUAGUCAACUGUGCAUCCAAUUCUGGGACUGCUUCUGUUUAGAAACACUCUCUGGCUGGCCCCUGUCAGUGUGACAACCUGCUCCAUACUGCUUAGGAUCAGGGGUUCACAAGCAGGAAAGAGGGACAGAAUAAUCAAAGCACCAAUGGCUUGUGUAAUUUUAUUUGCCAAAGAAUUAUAGUUUGCAUCAAAUUUAUCUAUCCCUUGGUGUUUCACUCCCUUCACAGGAUGGGAUGCAGAUCUUGCUGUUGACUCCACUGGAGGGCCACCAGUUGGGAACCAGAGACUGUUUUGAGAACUGAGCACCGCAGAAGUAGAAUAACAUUCUGCCUGACCCUAGUAUAUAUAGAAGAGUUCUAAUGUCACCAACACAGGUUUCAGAAUUUGUGCCUGCUGCAUCAUUCCUGGGAUUAAGACACAUUUUCCUGGGGAAAAUAAUGUGUGUCUUCCAACUUUGUCACAAGACACGCACAGUUGGAUUCUAAUCCUCACUGGUACUGUGUCUCUGAAACAGUGUUCAGCCAGUAUCAAUGCCAGGACUACUCUUGCUGUUAUUGUUGAGAUUGGUUUUUAUAACACUUCUAGCUAGCGAGAAUAAGUAUGUAAGGCAACUAAGGAUGCACAACAUGGCUUACUUUCUGUUCCCUAGGGUUGUAUGGACCUUUUUACAUAUCUAUAUGUGCAAGGAGUUUUUUAUUUUAGUUUUUAAAAUCAUCAGUGCUUACCAACUAGUCAGAAACCACUGCAGGCAGUGUCUGCAAUUGAUAUAAACCUAGCUAAGUUCCUGCAGCCUUUUCACUGCAUGUGUUAAUGAUAAAUUGUGCAGAAUGUUGCUUUUGCUUGAGAACUGGAUUUAUUAUUUUGGAUUCCACAGCCAUAUAAUUCUUUUCAAGUGAAUUCAAAUAAUGCAGUGAAAGUGACACCCAAAAGUGAAAGAAGUGGGACAAGAAAGAUCCCGAUCCCUACUCCUUUCCGGACCUAAAAUUAACCUUUCAUUCAUAUGUUUUUCAAUGUGAGCAUCUGUAAAAUCUUCUGUCUUCCCAUAAUCCAAGUCAGGAAUUUUGGUUUAAACAAAGGCUUCACUGUGAAAUUGAUGGAUUCUCUGCCUUUAUGCAAGAGUCCCAGUAAGAGUCUACAUCCGUGGUGUACAACACGCUAGCCACUAGCCACAUGUGGCUAUUUGGCCAGUUGAGUCUGGCUAGUUCGCUAUAGCAGCAGUCACUUAUAGUGGCUACUGCUUCAGAACUGGUUGGACUCCACAGGUCUACACACUUAGAGCUCUGUGUGGAUAUAAAAAUGUAUAUCCACAGCUGAUCCAUGAAUGUAUAGGUCUUUAUACAAACUGAGAAAUAGAAGAUUCUCUGUGCAUCUGCCAUUGUUUCAUGUACAAUACAGAAUUCCCAAUAGAACUAUGUAGAAUUUUGGCUCAAUAUAAAGUUCUCAAUGGAUUCUCAGGUUAAUGGGGAAGAGCUUCCUGCUUGGAGUCCUCUCAAAAUACCUGAAAAAGAUGCAUCUUAUUGAACUAAAAAUCCCAAAAGAAGAAACAUGAUUUGCUCUCACUGGAUUAACUUCCCAAAUUUAGUGGUGACAAGAGUCAAUAGCUGUCCAUGAUUUCUUUUCAGUAUGUGGGCUCCAAGUGAAUUUUAUUGGUAUAUACAUACUCUCAUCUGUUUAUGAAAAAAGGACACUUGGUGUCCAUUGAUACGUCCUCUAGUAGACAUGCAGUCAGGAAGCUCAAGGGCUGAGGAAGGUUUGCAUUUGUUUCUUAAUUUAUUGCAAAACUACAUUCAAUUGGACUAGGUCCCCAGGAGCUCUGAAGUAAACGGUAAAAGGCCAAGGCUCAUUGAACAUCAAGGAAAUAGAGUCUACAUUUUUCUGUAAACAUGUGCAGUUGCAGGAAGAAAACAGAUAUUUGUUACUACUCGACUAAGUUAAAAAAAACCCAACACAGCUGGAGGACAGAUAAAAAACUACUUACAGACGCCAGCAGGGGCUGCCUGAACCCUACAGAAUAAUUCUCAUUACAGUCCAGUGAGAAUAAUUGACAAAAUCUUAUUUUUUAAUAGUCUCACUUAAUUGUAUCAGAGAGCAAACUGUGUUGUGCAGGGUGGAUUACAUUUAAAUUAAAUUGAUUUAAAUUAUGAUUUAAAUAACUAACCAGGAAGACUUGAUUUAAUCGUGGUUUUCUACAUAAAAGUGCAUUCUUGUUGGUUGUCAAACUUUAUCCAUAUUUUCUCUAUAACUCAGAGAUAAAUUUAGGUUUCAUCUUUAGGAGGUACACUAUACAUUUUUAAGUAGUGAUUUAUUUUGAAAACUUUUCAGAUUAGUUGUACAGCAAUAUCAGAAAAUGAAUGAUUGUUUGAUUAUUUCAUUUACCAAAGGUAAUUGAAGCAGAUAUUUAUAAAGUCAUUCGGAAGUGAACUAUUUCCAAUUCAAAAGGUUAAGCAUUAAUAUUUGGAGGAUUUUUUUUGCCAUGCUGCAUUAGGAAGAGAACAUCAUCAGACAGACAUUUGAAUUGCUUUGUUUAACUAACAUAACAUUAUCUAUUCUGGAUUAUUUUCUUAAACAGCAAAUCUCUCUCUUUCUCUUUUAUAUAUAUAAAAAGUUUCCUACGAGA